AAAUAAGAAGCAAUUAUUGCAAUUAGUUUCGACCUAAUUAUAUGGUAUCAUAAAAUACCCUUAUUUU
RNAcentral lists this transfer RNA (67 nucleotides) under Paranauphoeta nigra. Its description in RNAcentral is "tRNA-Arg". The record is from RNAcentral. Lineage: Eukaryota; Metazoa; Arthropoda; Insecta; Blattodea; Blaberidae.